RNAcentral lists this ribosomal RNA (130 nucleotides) under Dicrocoelium hospes. Its description in RNAcentral is "partial 5.8S ribosomal RNA". It matches the Rfam family "5.8S ribosomal RNA", at positions 28 to 154 of the family's 154-position model. From Rfam's summary of the family: 5.8S ribosomal RNA (5.8S rRNA) is a component of the large subunit of the eukaryotic ribosome. The record is from RNAcentral. Lineage: Eukaryota; Metazoa; Platyhelminthes; Trematoda; Plagiorchiida; Dicrocoeliidae.
UUUGUGUCGAUGAAGAGCGCAGCCAACUGUGUGAAUUAAUGUGAACUGCAUACUGCUUUGAACAUCGACAUCUUGAACGCAUAUUGCGGCCAUGGGUUAGCCUGUGGCCACGCCUGUCCGAGGGUCGGCU